RNAcentral lists this ribosomal RNA (714 nucleotides) under Salmonella enterica. RNAcentral's name for it is "partial 23S ribosomal RNA". It matches the Rfam family "Bacterial large subunit ribosomal RNA", at positions 2234 to 2925 of the family's 2925-position model. Lineage: Bacteria; Pseudomonadati; Pseudomonadota; Gammaproteobacteria; Enterobacterales; Enterobacteriaceae. The record is from RNAcentral.
CGUUACCCGGGUUGCGGACAGUGUCUGGUGGGUAGUUUGACUGGGGCGGUCUCCUCCUAAAGAGUAACGGAGGAGCACGAAGGUUGGCUAAUCCUGGUCGGACAUCAGGAGGUUAGUGCAAUGGCAUAAGCCAGCUUGACUGCGAGCGUGACGGCGCGAGCAGGUGCGAAAGCAGGUCAUAGUGAUCCGGUGGUUCUGAAUGGAAGGGCCAUCGCUCAACGGAUAAAAGGUACUCCGGGGAUAACAGGCUGAUACCGCCCAAGAGUUCAUAUCGACGGCGGUGUUUGGCACCUCGAUGUCGGCUCAUCACAUCCUGGGGCUGAAGUAGGUCCCAAGGGUAUGGCUGUUCGCCAUUUAAAGUGGUACGCGAGCUGGGUUUAGAACGUCGUGAGACAGUUCGGUCCCUAUCUGCCGUGGGCGCUGGAGAACUGAGGGGGGCUGCUCCUAGUACGAGAGGACCGGAGUGGACGCAUCACUGGUGUUCGGGUUGUCAUGCCAAUGGCACUGCCCGGUAGCUAAAUGCGGAAGAGAUAAGUGCUGAAAGCAUCUAAGCACGAAACUUGCCCCGAGAUGAGUUCUCCCUGAGACUUAGAGUCUCCUGAAGGAACGUUGAAGACGACGACGUUGAUAGGCCGGGUGUGUAAGCGCAGCGAUGCGUUGAGCUAACCGGUACUAAUGAACCGUGAGGCUUAACCUUACAACGCCGAAGCUGUU